This 298-nucleotide long non-coding RNA is filed under the name Homo sapiens (human). Its description in RNAcentral is "HSALNT0035658". Lineage: Eukaryota; Metazoa; Chordata; Mammalia; Primates; Hominidae. The record is from RNAcentral.
AAACAUUUGGCACUGAAAGAGGUUAGACGGAUAACUAUUUGUAUCACCAUAUUCAUGAGGCUGAAAUAUUUUCCAUUACUGCUAUCACAUCCGAAUGGAAGAUGUUAAAAGGUCUCUCAUCUUGUAAGAUGGAUAUGAAAGAACAUUUUCUGAGAAAUGAAAUUAUUAACACACCUGCGAGGUGGAUGGAAGAGAAAAAAAGAAUAAUCAGCUUGAGUUCUUCUCCUUGAUAAGAUAACUCACUAAAAACAUAAAGAGAAAAAUACAAGUUUAAAAUAAUUAACCAGAAGAAGACGAC